UGAUGACAGCUUCUCCGGAAUCUCUGUACCUCAUUGAUGAAAAUCCGUUUGAACCCUGAUUUGUCUGACGACCGAUGAUGCAGUGGCAUU
Small nucleolar RNA from Petromyzon marinus (sea lamprey), 90 nucleotides. RefSeq annotates it as small nucleolar RNA MBII-202. The record is from RefSeq and is a predicted model, not a curated record. Lineage: Eukaryota; Metazoa; Chordata; Hyperoartia; Petromyzontiformes; Petromyzontidae.